Long non-coding RNA from Equus caballus (horse), 4124 nucleotides. RefSeq lists it as uncharacterized. The record is from RefSeq and is a predicted model, not a curated record. Lineage: Eukaryota; Metazoa; Chordata; Mammalia; Perissodactyla; Equidae.
UUCCUGCUUCGCCUAGCGGGCUACAAAGAGCUGCACCGUCUGACAUUCAGAUGAUAAAUAGUUUGCACCUGAGCCAGGCUUGCGUUACUUCCGUGACUUCAGUCUUUGCUCUCCUACCCUCUCACUUACUAGCUGAGCGCUCUGGGGGAGGUUAUCUAACCUUCCUGAGCCUCGUAUUCCUCAUACCGAAAACGGAGGUAACCAGAGUAACUACAUCCAAAAAUUGAGAGAACUGAAUGAGAUAAAUAAGGCGAGGUGUUUUUAACACGUCCUGCACAUGAAGACAAUACCAUGAUCAUGAAAUCACUGGAGAAAUCUGCCGGGGAAGGGCUGUGAGGAUAGUCUCAUCUGUAACGCAUGUGUCCUCCAGAAAAAAAGUAUAUGGCUUUCAGACUAAAUUUUACUCCUUAUCCAAAUGGAAAGAAUAUCUAAAGAGACAAAGUGUAAUAAUCCAAGAAUCUUCUAUUGUGAGAAUAAUGGAGAUUGACAUUGUGAAGUAUAUAGAAAAACAUAAAAGAACUUCUUCCUCCUCUCCCCCCACCCCACCCCAGCUACGUGGAGAAAUGGCCACAGCUGCUUCUCUUUUGUCUGCCAGGGGCGCCAGGCAUAUCUCUUCUCACACAUGCUUGAGUGACUGCCAGCCAUCUCCCUGUAAGAAGGUCUGCAUAGGGAAAUAAGCACUACUGAACGGAGACCAAUUAUUAGAUGGCACUGUUGCGAUUCCAGCCAAGCAAGAGAGAAGCAGUGCUGUAAGACAGAAGAAAAUAAUCAAGAAAUUCAUUUUGGACCCUCGUGGUUGUGUCUCCAAACUACAAGCAGUGGUUUAGAACAGGCGGAGUAGGAUAAGAGCAAUGAUGGCAAGAACUGAAGGCUGGGGACAGGAGCGUCACCAAGGGAGAAAGGAGUGAAGAGGAAAACAGUGCAAACUCCUGAAGAUCCAGUUGGAAGGAAGAGAAAUCAGAUGAAUUAUAAUCAACCAUUUUCACUGCAUUUCCAAGAAUGAAAAAUUAAGAUAAUAAAUAGACAAAUUUACAACCACAGAAUAUCAUGUUUAAAAGAUUCUGUAGGAAAAAAGAAAUAUGAUUUCAUUAAAACAUUGACUUUAAAAUAGACAUAUUAAGAUAGAAAUAUCAAACCAAAUUAUGAACAUUAAAACAAACUAUUUUUAGGAAUAAUUCUAGGUUGGGCCUUCAAUUUUACAUCAGUGAUUUUAUUUUGGAGUGAUUUGGAUUUUUUGUCUCUAGACCAGCACAAGUGGAUUAUUAUCAUUCAGUCUUUGAAAGGAGAAGAUACAGUUUCCAGUCACUAAUUUACAAUAUUGUUCUAUCAGUAUCUUCCAUGAGAGGUGAUUUAAUAAAUUUUUUCUCAAUGUGAAAAGAUCCAGGAGACCCUGUUGCAUGUACUGGAAAAUAAGUUUGUUGAGGAUUUAUUUAUAUAUUUCUCAUAAUAACUUCCGAACUUGAGAAAAUGUUUGUCAUUUCAGCACAAAGGGCCAAAAGAGUGCCACAUUAUGAAAAGACUAUCUUGGGAAAGAAUGAAUCUUAGAAUCAUAUAUUUAUAUGUUUGUCUUUCAUUUUUAGAUUUGAUCACUUGAAUUUUAUUUUUAUAUGGUACCUAACAGGAGUACACAUUCUUUUAUUUCCCAUUAUUACAAGUAAAAGUGGAUCACAAUAAGAGGCUAUUACAAGAAUUUAAUAGAUUUUAUACUUCUAUUGAGCCAAUAGGCAUGCUCUAUGAUUCAUGUAAGUUUAGGAGGUAUUACACUUUUUACGUCUUUCAUUCAUAGUGUACAGUCUGCUUUACAAACAUCUCUUUUAUAUUUACAGUGUUACUAAGGUACAUUAUGAUUGGCUUCAUAUGGAAAAACGACUCAAAGAGUUUAAGUAUUUUUAUGGAAAUAUGCAGUUAGUAGGCGGUAAUGUCUAAAUAAGAACCCAAGUCUUGUAAUUUCAAACUGAGUGCAAUUUCCAUUAUGCUAUUUGUGCUUCACCAGAAGGGGGCUUAUCUGUGCCUGGUUCCCAGCUUUUUCUUAGUAUGAAAUAUACAACUUUGCUGAUUAGUUAUAAGCAAUCCUAGCAUUUGCAUAGCCUUCAUUACUAAUUAAUAUACUAUAGAAUACCUAUUAAAUACUGAAAACUAUAUUUGGUGAUUUACAGCUAUUCUCUAAUGCUUACAAUGAUUUUAAAAGUUAGUUGAUAGGAAAAUUGAGAUUCAGAGAGAUGAAAUAACAUGUUUGAGGUCACACAGUUGUCAGAAUUCAUGGCCAUGUCUGUUUAAUUUUAUGCUUCUUUCAGGAUCUCCUGCUCUGUUGGAGACAGAACACUUUUUUAUCUCUAUGUGACUCUAUUGUUAAGUCUUUUUACUUGGUCCCCCAAGGACCUACCAGUUGGUUAACAUAUUUAACCUGCCUGUUUCUCUAAGUUAUUGGUUAUAUAUACCCAUUUUCUGGAAGAGAAACACGAGACACCUUGUCAACAUAAACAGUAUUGCAAGAGAGUUUUAAAAAAAGAAGUAUUGCUAAAGGAAGAGAUUAAUAAUAGCUAAAGCAUUCUAGAGUUGAGCAUGAGGCAAAAAAAAAAAAAAAAAAAUGUGGCUGGGAGAGAGCUAUUAACAAUCUGUCUAGAGGCCCUUCAUUGUGUGUUGUUUUUUAUAUCAAAAUCAAUCACUUCUUAGCAAUAAGUUCUGAGUCACUUGACAGUAGUCUGAUAAGAUAAAGCUACCUCUAGUGCAUUUCUGGUCCCAACCUGCAGACCAGAAACCACUCAGUGUCCCUCCCUGAGUCACUCUGUGAGUAGGGCACAGGAGGGUAAAGGGAAGUCACAGUUUUAGCCCCUGUGCUCUGAGGACAAACUCAUACAUUCUGGUUGUAUCUUCAACUUCUCAAUUAGGGAAGAAACUGUUAAAUAUGGUUUCAAAGAUAUACCAACUAUGGAAUACUAUUUUUAUAGAUUGGAAAACAGAUUUGAUCUUGUAUGUAGAAGUAUCUUGGUCUUGGAUGUAAUGAAAAUACUCCCAGUAGGUGGUUCCCAACUCAAUUGUCAUUUGUUUCCUGAAGUCAUCUAUUCCAAAAAUAGUUUUCUUCCCACUUUUUAAAUUUCCAUAGUAUUUCAUAACUUUAUCCUAAAAUUUGUCAAACCGUACUGUCAUGAUUGAUUUCUGUGCCCUCUCAGUUCAUCCUCAGCCGUUACAUGAAUGUUCUCCUUGGCAGCAGCUCCGCAAUAUGUUAUUCACUUUCAUGAUUCAAGUGCUGCCAUGACUUCAGCCUUUGUAGGAGGCACUAGUCUUAGAAGAUUUAUUGAAUGUCUGAGUCCAGUUACAAACAAUUGUAGCAUUUUCGUAACAUCUUGAGAAGUGGUUAAUUGAUAUCAUCCCUGAGUCUAAUGUAAAAUCUGAUAAAUACUCCAAUGUUGUUGAAAAAUGUCUACCUUUAGUUACAUGUAAGAAAUCAUUUGAAUACUAAGGAGAUGGAGAGGGGGACAAUGCCAUCUCUGGCUUCCUUCCAGAGAUCACAAGAAUGUAUCAGGCAAUUGGAAAUUUUAUAAACAGGAAAAGGUUUUAUCUGAUUCAAGUUAAGUGACUCUGGACUGAAAACUGUAAAUUGCUCCGGUUUCCAUUUAGGAUCUUCCUAUAUCCUGGAUCAUGUGAGGCCAAGAAUAGCACAAUAUGGACUGCUGGAAAAUACUAUUGUCAUGAUAAUUAACAAUACAAACAGGCUAUGGGAAAAGAUCUGGGCUGUGCAUACUGGAUCACACAAAAAGAGUGUUACCAAGGAGACACCAUGGCUACCACAGAGAUAAGUGGCUCAAGUAAAAGACAGGAUACAGAAAAAGCUGGUCAGCCACAAGCAAGCACAGGGCAAUGCUCUUAGCUGCUUUUUCGGUUGGUUGGUUGGUUAAUUUUGGUUUUUAUUUUGUUCUGCCUGCCUAUUAUUGCCUGUAACUAUACGUGUGAAACAAUGAUUGUGCAGUCAGUGCCUUUUCAUCAGCUAUGCCAUCUCUACUGAAGGACUUCAUCUCAAAUACAGUGAAAAUUCUGAGCUUUUUAAAACAUUCAGGUUAUGCUGUACGGUACUGGUUUGAGGCAUUCCACAAGAACAUUUGAGAUUGGCUCAGAUGUAGAUUUAA